RNAcentral lists this ribosomal RNA (448 nucleotides) under uncultured bacterium. Its description in RNAcentral is "SSU rRNA". It matches the Rfam family "Bacterial small subunit ribosomal RNA", at positions 26 to 518 of the family's 1533-position model. The record is from RNAcentral.
AGAACGAACGCUGGCGGCAGGCCUCAAACAUGCAAGUCUAGGGGGCGUAGCAAUACGUCACCGGCGGACGGGUGCGUAACACGUGGGAAUGUACUUACUGGUUCGGAACAACUCAGGGAAACUUGAGCUAAUACCGAAUGUGCCCGAAAGGGGAAAGAUUUAUCGCCAGUAAAUCAGCCCGCGUCCGAUUAGCUAGUUGGCGGGGUAAAGGCCCACCAAGGCGACGAUCGGUAGCUGUUCUGAGAGGAAGAUCAGCCACACUGGGACUGAGACACGGCCCAGACUCCUACGGGAGGCAGCAGUUGGGAAUCUUGGACAAUGGGGGAAACCCUGAUCCAGCCAUGCCGCGUGAGUGAUGAAGGCCUUCGGGUUGUAAACUCUUUCGACGGGGACGAUAAUGACGGUACCCGUAGGAAGAAGCUCCGGCUAACUUCGCGCCAGCAGCCGC